CCUACGGGAGGCAGCAGUGGGGAAUCUUGCGCAAUGGGCGAAAGCCUGACGCAGCCAUGCCGCGUGAAUGAUGAAGGUCUUAGGAUUGUAAAAUUCUUUCACCGGGGACGAUAAUGACGGUACCCGGAGAAGAAGCCCCGGCUAACUUCGUGCCAGCAGCCGCGGUAAUACGAAGGGGGCUAGCGUUGCUCGGAAUUACUGGGCGUAAAGGGAGCGUAGGCGGACAUUUAAGUCAGGGGUGAAAUCCCGGGGCUCAACCUCGGAAUUGCCUUUGAUACUGGGUGUCUUGAGUAUGAGAGAGGUGUGUGGAACUCCGAGUGUAGAGGUGAAAUUCGUAGAUAUUCGGAAGAACACCAGUGGCGAAGGCGACGCACUGGCUCAUUACUGACGCUGAGGCUCGAAAGCGUGGGGAGCAAACAGGAUUAGAUACCCUGGUAGUCCACGCCGUAAACGAUGAUUGCUAGUUGUCGGGAUGCAUGCAUUUCGGUGACGCAGCUAACGCAUUAAGCAAUCCGCCUGGGGAUACGGUCGCAAGAUUAAAACUCAAAUGAAUUGACGG
RNAcentral lists this ribosomal RNA (559 nucleotides) under uncultured bacterium. Its description in RNAcentral is "bacterial SSU rRNA". It matches the Rfam family "Bacterial small subunit ribosomal RNA", at positions 338 to 916 of the family's 1533-position model. The record is from RNAcentral.